AUACGUAGGUGGCAAGCGUUGUCCGGAAUUACUGGGUGUAAAGGGAGCGCAGGCGGGCGUGCAAGUCAGCUGUGAAAUCCAUGGGCUUAACCCGUGGGCUGCAGUUGAAACUGUAAGUCUUGAGUGAAGUAGAGGUAGGCGGAAUUUCGAGUGUAGCGGUAAAAUGCGUAGAUAUUCGGAGGAACACCGGUGGCGAAGGCGGCCUACUGGGCUUUAACUGACGCUGAGGCUCGAAAGUGUGGGGAGCAAACAGGAUUAGAUACCCUGGUAGUCCACACUGUAAACGAUGAUUGCUAGGUGUGGGGGGUCUGACCCCUUCCGUGCCGCAGUUAACGCAAUAAGCAAUCCACCUGGGGAGUACGGCCGCAAGGCUAAAACUCAAAUGAAUUGACGGGG
This 396-nucleotide ribosomal RNA is filed under the name uncultured bacterium. RNAcentral describes it as "partial 16S ribosomal RNA". It matches the Rfam family "Bacterial small subunit ribosomal RNA", at positions 523 to 918 of the family's 1533-position model. The record is from RNAcentral.